UAAAACCACAUUAAGCUCUGUUGACCCUGAAACAUUGCAGGAAUGAUGAACUGCAGCUUUGUGACCGCGUGUGCUCCAUUUCUGGUCGGACCUUAGGAACCCACGUGCUAUUUCAUGUUCAAAAAUGUGCUCUUGGUACAAUGCUAGGGGUGAGGGAGGCUGACCUGCCCAAAAUCACAAAGAGAAUUAGAAGGGGAUGAAGAGGGAUGUGUAAACUAGGGUGGUGUUGUUGUGGAUAGCUGACCUAUAUAGCAAGGGAGAUAAAGCCUUUUCUUUUUUGAAAGAAAUCAGGUGUUAGAUCUGAGCUUGUGGUGGUUUUGCCUGAGCACAGCUAUUUCUGCAGAGACACCCUGGGGGAGCAGAAGGGAUUUGGAGCACGGUAGCAGUGCUUGCAGGGUUAGUGUGGUGAACCAUACUGAGAGCCUGAGCAGCUUGGCUGGAGCCUUCCAGAACUGCUCUGAGCAAUUUUAGCAUUGGGGUUUCUUCCUCUUGUUGGUAUCUAAAGAGUAACAGGCCAAUGAAACAAUUGUGGUUGCAACUUUUUUGAAAUGAGUUCACUUUUUCUGAUAACUUUUCAGAGUUGCUGAAGUUUUUCACCAGGAGGUAUUACUGAGCCAUCCUGCCUGGGUCCUCUGCCCUCCUGCCUGCGCUGGAAGUCAGUGUUCCAUCCUCUGAGCCCUCUGCUAUGAUGGCACCUGGGUGGUCAUUGGGCCCCCAUUUUGUUUCUUGAAAUCAACAGCAGAAGCAAAGCCAGGCUGAACAAAGAACUCCAAGGGCAGCAGUCCACAAGGGACAUAAAGAAAAUGCAGGUUCCCUUAAAAAGGAGCAGCUACUUUGAUUAGUUUGAAGCAGAAUAAAAGACCUAUAAAUGGGGAGAAUCCUGAAGAUGUCCUGGGAGAGGGGAAUUCGUGCCCUUAGAAUAGCUGCACGGAUGAAACAGAGGAUGAAAAAGCUUGAACACAAAUGUCUUGAUAAUAAACACAAAUGUGUUUAUUGCCAUGUAUUAAAGUGGGAUUUCUGCAGUUACAAUAAGAUGCUGCCAAAGAAGAAUGAUCUGUGGAAUACAAGUGAAUGCAGUGCUGAUGAGCAUCCCGAAGUCCCACAAGAGGUUAGAAAGAGCACAACCUGCAUUCUGUUUUUGAUCUCUGUUUUUAUCCCACAGCUGGGAGGGGACGACAGCAGGAGAAACGAGGGGCUGAUGGAGGGCUUCUCUCUGCUGUAGGGUGUUCUUGCUGCUCACUGAUCGUUUGUGUGGCUGCAUCCAGCCUGGAGGGCUGCAGAGAGAGUUUGCCUGUCAAUGUGUGGUAAUUAUUUCUACUCCUCUCCGGCUUUUUCCUAAUUGAUUAUUGGUUCUGCCUGCAAAGUGAAAGUGAAACAGACAAAGGAGGCAUUUAUCUUCGUCUUGUCUGAGAAAUUCCCGAUGGGCAAUGAAAGCAUUUCCACUGCCUGUUGGUGGAUCUUACACUCCCGCUCGCCAAACUCUUCUGCACAUGAAAAAAAAGCUGUAUUUGAGCAGUUCUACUAACAAGCUUCUUGGCUGCUGGCUGGAUUAAGGCAAAGUUAGGCUUUGUCUGAUCUUAAUUAAUCCCAGGCAGUGCUUCUAUUUCUGCCAUUGGCCGGUCGGGAGAGGGGGGUGGAUAGCCAGUGUGCUCUGACUGCAUCAUGCAGUGCCUGCUGCGUGAAGAUGUUACCUGUGCUGUAAACCUGUCAUGUUAUUCUUUGGAGAGGGGAAUUCUUACUUUCUAAUCCAUAUACUUACACAAAGCCGUUACUCCUCUUACAUACAAAGUGCUUCAUAAUCUCAUCUUCAGCCUUCAGGCAUAAAAAUAGCAAAGUUAUCCUACUCCAUACUUAACUACUUGUGAGUAUUGUUGGUAUCAAAUAUGAUUUUACUACGUGGAAGAUUACCUUCUGGUUAUCCUUCUCUUGAAAUAACGCGGGAAGAACGUCGGAUACAGAAUGAUUUCUGAAGUUUUGAAGCAGCAUUUACUGCUGCUUUAUACUGUGUGCAACUUCAGACAGCAGCAGCGACGUUACUGGGAGAGUCCCUCCGACCGCAGGGAAUUGGCACCCUAUUAAACCUCACUCUCAGCAGAGCUGAACUGGAAAUGUUACAGCACAGCCCUGUUUUUAUCUCCUGACGAGCGGUGAUCAGAACCAUGUUGCCACAGCCAGGCAGGGUUCUCCCCUUGUCUGUUUACACCCUCCUGCACUGAAUCCUUCAUCCGGUCUCAUCCACCCGCUGAUGUCCCCCUCGUUCCUCUCACAACAGGCUUGCUUUGGCUUUUAUCCCAGGGAAAGGCAGCGUUGCCAAGUCUCUCUGUGCUGAGCUCCUUCCAGUGAUCUGCUGUUGCAUGCUCAGCAUCUCACAUCCAUCGCAGCACUGCUUCCACCCCUCUGCUCCAGCCACGUGGAUGCUGCGGGCAGAGCAGCCCUGGGCAGCAGCAGCACAGGUGGGCACAGCACGGGGCGGGUGUCUGUGCCCUAAGGGUCUGUCCCUGUCAACUGCUCUCGGAAGGGCUGAUUGUGUGGCCUGACUGCAGUGGGGUCACCCAUCAGCUUGGUGUUACCACCCAGUGAAAUUGCUGGGGAAGGGUGGUGGUGCUUUUGUAGGGCUGAACUUGGACUGUGGCCAUUGCACGGUGGCAUGGUCUGUUCUGAGCAGCAGUGUGCACACACACUGGGUGACCAUGCAUGGCUGUAGUUCCCAAAGAUCAGACCGCAGUCUGUGCUGACAGAAGACACAAAGUCAAUUAAUGGAACUUUGUGCAGCCAUAAAUUCUCUCACCCUGUCAUCACAGAAUCACAGAAUGGCCAGGGUUGGAAGGGACCUCAAGGAUCAUGAGUCUCCAACCCCCUGCCACACGCAGGGCCACCAACCAUCCCACCUAAUGCUAGACCAGGCUGCCCAGGGCCCCAUCCAACCUGGCCUUGAACACCUCCAGGGACGGGGCAUCCACAGCCUCUCUGGGCAGCUGUUCCAGCACCUCACCACUCUCUCUGUAAAGAACUUCCCCCUGACAUCCACAACCUAAUAAAGAGCACCUUAACAAAAUUGUACA
This is a long non-coding RNA of Phasianus colchicus (ring-necked pheasant), 3062 nucleotides long. The record is from Ensembl. NCBI's taxonomy places the organism in Eukaryota, Metazoa, Chordata, Aves, Galliformes, Phasianidae.